UACGGGGGGGGCAAGCGUUGUUCGGAAUUACUGGGCGUAAAGAGCGUGUAGGCGGUCUGGUAGGUCCGUUGUGAAAACUCGAGGCUCAACCCCGAGACGCCGAUGGAAACCCUCAGACUAGAGUCCGGAAGAGGAGAGUGGAAUUCCUGGUGUAGCGGUGAAAUGCGCAGAUAUCAGGAAGAACACCCGUGGCUAAGGCGGCUCUCUAGUACGUGACUGACGCUGAGACGCGAAAGCGUGGGGAGCAAACAGG
This 253-nucleotide ribosomal RNA is filed under the name uncultured bacterium. RNAcentral's name for it is "partial 16S ribosomal RNA". It matches the Rfam family "Bacterial small subunit ribosomal RNA", at positions 524 to 776 of the family's 1533-position model. The record is from RNAcentral.